UUGAUCCUGGGUCAGGAUGAACGCUGGCGGCGUGCUUAACACAUGCAAGUCGAACGAAGCACUUUAUUUGAUUUCCCCCCCGGACUGAUUAUUUUGUGACUGAGUGGCGGACGGGUGAGUAACGCGUGGGUAACCUGCCCUGUACAGGGGGAUAAACAGCUGGAAACGGCUGCUAAUACCGCAUAAGCGCACGAGGAGACAUCUCUUCCCCGGAUAAAGUCCGGACGUGAGGGGAUGGCUCCGCGUGCCCAUCAGGUAGUCGCCGGGGUGACGCCCCACCGUGCCGACAUCGGGUAGCCGUGUUGAGAGACCGCCCGGCCAGAUUGGGACUGAGACACGGCCCAGACUCCUACGGGAGGCAGCAGUGGGGAAUCUUGCGCAAUGGGGGGAACCCUGACGCAGCGACGCCGCGUGCGGGACGGAGUCUUUCGGGUCGUAAACCUCUUUCAGCAGGGAAGAGUCAAGACUGUCCCUGCAGAAGAAGCCCCGGCUAACUACGUGCCACCAGCCGCGGUAAUACGUAGGGGGGCGAGCGUUAUCCGGAUUCAUUGGGCGUAAAGCGCGCGUAGGCGGCCCGGCAGGCCGGGGGUAGAAGCGGGGGGCUCAUCCCCCCGAAGCCCCCGGAACCUCCGCGGCUUGGGUCCGGUAGGGGAGGGUGGAACACCCGGUGUAGCGGUGGAAUGCGCAGAUAUCGGGUGGAACCCCGGUGGAGAAGGCGGCCCUCUGGGCCGAGACCCACGCUGAGGCGCGAAAGCUGGGGGAGCGCACAGGAUUAGAUACCCUGGUAGUCCCAGCCGUAAACGAUG
This 806-nucleotide ribosomal RNA is filed under the name uncultured bacterium. RNAcentral's name for it is "bacterial SSU rRNA". It matches the Rfam family "Bacterial small subunit ribosomal RNA", at positions 13 to 811 of the family's 1533-position model. The record is from RNAcentral.